RNAcentral lists this ribosomal RNA (840 nucleotides) under uncultured bacterium. RNAcentral's name for it is "bacterial SSU rRNA". It matches the Rfam family "Bacterial small subunit ribosomal RNA", at positions 1 to 837 of the family's 1533-position model. The record is from RNAcentral.
UAGAGUUUGAUCAUGGCUCAGGAUGAACGCUAGCGGCAGGCUUAACACAUGCAAGUCGAGGGGCAUCGGGAGGAAAGCUUGCUUUCCUUGCCGGCGACCGGCGCACGGGUGAGUAACACGUAUGCAACCUGCCCUCUUCAGGGGGACAACCUUCCGAAAGGGAGGCUAAUCCCGCGUAUAUCGGUUUCGGGCAUCCGAGAUCGAGGAAAGAUUCAUCGGAAGAGGAUGGGCAUGCGGCGCAUUAGCUUGACGGCGGGGUAACGGCCCACCGUGGCGACGAUGCGUAGGGGUUCUGAGAGGAAGGUCCCCCACACUGGUACUGAGACACGGACCAGACUCCUACGGGAGGCAGCAGUGAGGAAUAUUGGUCAAUGGGCGCGAGCCUGAACCAGCCAAGUCGCGUGAGGGAAGACGGUCCUAUGGAUUGUAAACCUCUUUUGUCGGGGAGCAAAAGACGCCACGUGUGGCGUUCCGAGAGUACCCGAAGAAAAAGCAUCGGCUAACUCCGUGCCAGCAGCCGCGGUAAUACGGAGGAUGCGAGCGUUAUCCGGAUUUAUUGGGUUUAAAGGGUGCGCAGGCGGAUUUUUAAGUCAGCGGUCAAAUCGUGGGGCUCAACCCCAUCCAGCCGUUGAAACUGGGGAUCUAGAGUGUGCGAGAGGUAUGCGGAAUGCGUGGUGUAGCGGUGAAAUGCAUAGAUAUCACGCAGAACCCCGAUUGCGAAGGCAGCAUACCGGUGCACAACUGACGCUCAGGCACGAAAGCGUGGGUAUCGAACAGGAUUAGAUACCCUGGUAGUCCACGCAGUAAACGAUGAAUGCUACCUGUUUGGCCAGAUUGAUG